GCCCUUGGAUGAGCCGCGGCCUAUCAGUUUGUUGGUGGGGUAAUGGCCUACCAAGGCGACGACGGGUAGCCGGCCUGAGAGGGUGAUCGGCCACACUGGGACUGAGAUACGGCCCAGACUCCUACGGGAGGCAGCAGUGGGGAAUAUUGCACAAUGGGCGGAAGCCUGAUGCAGCGACGCCGCGUGGGGGAUGACGGUCUUCGGAUUGUAAACCCCUUUCAGUAGGGACGAAGCGAGAGUGACGGUACCUGCAGAAGAAGCACCGGCCAACUACGUGCCAGCAGCCGCGGCCGAAGGGC
RNAcentral lists this ribosomal RNA (299 nucleotides) under uncultured Actinomyces sp. RNAcentral describes it as "partial 16S ribosomal RNA". It matches the Rfam family "Bacterial small subunit ribosomal RNA", at positions 217 to 533 of the family's 1533-position model. The record is from RNAcentral. Lineage: Bacteria; Bacillati; Actinomycetota; Actinomycetes; Actinomycetales; Actinomycetaceae.